Molecule: ribosomal RNA, 373 nt
Filed under: uncultured organism
Description: partial 16S ribosomal RNA
Rfam family: Bacterial small subunit ribosomal RNA
Source: RNAcentral
GUAGGUGGCAAGCGUUGUCCGGAAUUAUUGGGCGUAAAGCGCGCGCAGGCGGUUCUUUAAGUCUGAUGUGAAAGCCCACGGCUCAACCGUGGAGGGUCAUUGGAAACUGGAGAACUUGAGUACAGAAGGAAAAAGCGGAAUUCCACGUGUAGCGGUGAAAUGCGUAGAGAUGUGGAGGAACACCAGUGGCGAAGGCGGCUUUCUGGUCUGUAACUGACGCUGAGGCGCGAAAGCGUGGGGAGCAAACAGGGAUUAGAUACCCUGGUAGUCCACGCCGUAAACGAUGAGUGCUAAGUGUUAGGGGGUUUCCGCCCCCUUAGUGCUGCAGCUAACGCAUUAAGCACUCCGCCUGGGGAGUACGGCCGCAAGGCUG